This is a long non-coding RNA of Rosa rugosa (rugosa rose), 2003 nucleotides long. RefSeq lists it as uncharacterized. The transcript has 6 exons. NCBI's taxonomy places the organism in Eukaryota, Viridiplantae, Streptophyta, Magnoliopsida, Rosales, Rosaceae. The record is from RefSeq and is a predicted model, not a curated record.
CUCUAAGAGCAACUCCUCUCCUUCUCUUUCUCUUUCUCUUAGCGGUGAUCACACUCCUAGUCCUAGUCUUCUCAGAAGCCGACUUUCAGUGCCACCAAACCCUCUGUCAACAUGCUUCGAUCCUAGUCUCCUCGGGAGCCGACGGUAGUGCCGCGACCACAACGGUUACAGAACCAGCCAAGCAAGGGUAACGCCCUAGCAACCCAGCCAAGCUAAAGUCACGCUUUAGCAAGUUCUCCUCACUUCCCGGUGGUUCUCGCUCUGCUCGAUCUACAACAUCGAGUAUCGAUUGUGAUUUUCAAGAAGCUCAGCAAAAGUCCUCGCCACGAGGCACAAAGAAUCCCACGACGAGGUUGGUGCUCUCCUCGUCCACAAUUGCUUGAAAAGAAGUCAGGUCAAGGGACAUCCCCGACGACCGCACCCGAACGGUGCUGGCACGCCCGCGCAAGAAAAGAGACUGUUGACCAGCUGCAACAAAAUUGGAGCCAAACACCUGUAAUGCCCACGAUUUAUUAAAACUCCACAAAUAUAUAAAUACCGUCCAAAGGAUAUGAUGGUAAUCUUGACAAUAAAAGCCAAACAAAAAUUACGGGAAGGCAGAGAACAGAAGAAAAACAAAAAAUUUCCCGAGAAUUCGGCGGAGAGAGAGAGAGAAAAAAAAAAAAAAAAGGCGCAAUCGCACACGAUCUCCAGACCAGAGAAGAACUGCCGGGCCACGAUCUCAACACAGACGGAUGCUCAAGACGACGUGGGAGAAAAUCGGUGUACAAAUGGAUGCAUCAGGACUCAUCCUUCUUCCAAUUUACAGUUCAUACGAAAAUAGAAAACAGAGAAAGAAAGAAGAGCAGAGCAGAAUCAAACCCAGAAGGAAGAGAAAGAGAAAGAAACAAAUAAGAGAAAAUUAUUAUCAACUCGGCUGACAGUGUUGCAGAUUCACUUGAAGUCAGACUUGAUAUUGUUAUUGGUUUUCACUUAUUUAAGCAAACGGAGAAAGCCAGAUAACCAACGUGGAAUAAAGAAACGAGGAAAAGAGGAAAUCAAAACCUGUUCUCUUUGAAGAUUUUGCAGUUCUGGCAUUUGCAGGGGUCCAUUCAGAUGCAGUUGUCAUGACCGAAACAGAAAGAGGAAGACUUUGAGAAAUACAAAGGUCUGGAAGAUUUGGAAUUUAUAUAAGGGGUUCAAACCAAGUGAGUCUUCUCUGACCUGUAUCUUUGGUUUAAUUUGGUUUGUUCGAUAAGUUGCCAGAAUUGAUGCAGAGACAAUGAGUUUGGGUACAAGUACAAUGGCCAGCAGUGACUAAAUUGUGUGUUGCAACUUGCAAGGUAUGCUAAUCAAUUUUCAAGUAACCUAAUAGUUGCUUGGGGAAGAGGGAGAGGGAGAGGGAGAGGGAGAGAUUUGGCUGGAUAUAUGUUGUAGAUGUUUUUGUAUUUCCACCUUUUGAUUGUUAGUUCUGUUGCCAUAACUGAUAAAUUUAUCCUGGGAUGAGUUUAUCCAAACCAUGAGUAGUAUCCAAAACUUUGCAAGUUAUAGUUGCAAUCAGUCAUGUUUAUGAUUUAAAUAUCUUUUCAGAGAUUAUGGAUAGUCAGUGUUGGAUUGCAGGGAUACUUUGACUGGCUGUUGAUAUCAUAAUCUUGGUGGAAGCUUGAAGCCUUGAAGUGACUUCAAGAAACAUGUAUUCACAUAAAUGGCAAGCUAUAGCAUGCAUGUUGCUACAAUUAUUCCAUAGCAGGAAGGCUGAUGGGGAAUUGUAGUGAAAUGAAGGACAUGAUUUUGGUAGUGCAUGAAAUCAAAAAACCACAGGACCGCUUUUUUGUGGCCACAUUUAAAUUUUUUUUAUUUACAAGUUUGAGAGUUGAAUACAUCUGUUUCAAGUUGUAAAUUUGUAGAAUUUGGUAAAGAAAGAUGACGAGGAAGAGAGAAGUAUGUUUAAACAGACGCCAUAAUGCUUUUUUUUGACCAACUCUUCUAUGUGAAUGUUCCUAACUAGGAAAAAGAUUUAGAAA